RNAcentral lists this ribosomal RNA (465 nucleotides) under uncultured Streptococcus sp. Its description in RNAcentral is "bacterial SSU rRNA". It matches the Rfam family "Bacterial small subunit ribosomal RNA", at positions 338 to 795 of the family's 1533-position model. The record is from RNAcentral. Lineage: Bacteria; Bacillati; Bacillota; Bacilli; Lactobacillales; Streptococcaceae.
CCUACGGGAGGCAGCAGUAGGGAAUCUUCGGCAAUGGACGGAAGUCUGACCGAGCAACGCCGCGUGAGUGAAGAAGGUUUUCGGAUCGUAAAGCUCUGUUGUAAGAGAAGAACGAGUGUGAGAGUGGAAAGUUCACACUGUGACGGUAACUUACCAGAAAGGGACGGCUAACUACGUGCCAGCAGCCGCGGUAAUACGUAGGUCCCGAGCGUUGUCCGGAUUUAUUGGGCGUAAAGCGAGCGCAGGCGGUUAGAUAAGUCUGAAGUUAAAGGCUGUGGCUUAACCAUAGUACGCUUUGGAAACUGUUUAACUUGAGUGCAGAAGGGGAGAGUGGAAUUCCAUGUGUAGCGGUGAAAUGCGUAGAUAUAUGGAGGAACACCGGUGGCGAAAGCGGCUCUCUGGUCUGUAACUGACGCUGAGGCUCGAAAGCGUGGGGAGCAAACAGGAUUAGAUACCCGAGUAGUC